AGAAGAAAUUUGCCUGCAGUGGUCCUGUAAUUGAGCAUCCAAAUAUGGAGAAGUCAUUCAGCUACAGGGCGACCAGCGCAAGAACCUAUGCCAGUUCCUGGUAGAGACUGGACUGGCUAAGGACGAUCAGUGCUUGGGUUUUAAGUGCUUGUGGCUCACAGAAGCUUAAGUGAGGAUUUCCUUGCAAUGAAUAGAAUUUCCCAUUUGUCCCUUGUCACAAGUUUAAAAACCUUACAGCUUGUAUAAUGUAACCAUUUGGGAUCCUCUUUUAAUGUGGACUAGUGUAACUCCUUCAUGCAAUAAACUGAAAAGAGCCAUGCUGUCUAGUCUUGAAGUCCCUCAUUUAAACAGAGGUCAAGCAGUAGGUGCCUAGCAGUGCCCACCCUGAAACAAAGCAAUAACCUGGUGUUUCAGCAAAGCCCAGAGUCCCAAGAUCAGAUGGCUGUGACCAGAAGCUUCUCAGCUCUCCCUCUGCUGAGGCCCCUGCCCUAAGAGUGUCAUGACCUGAUCAGAAGGAAUGGGGUAAGGCAGCUGUAAUAUUAGAAGGGGACCUUUGGUAGUUUUUUUUUUUUUUCUUCUUCAUUUUGUUUUUUAAAAAGAAUCCCUGGUGUCUAACCUGACCAGGUGGGUAGAACUCAAGAGGCCACCUUCCUUCCAGUGAGGUGAUGUGACAUCUGGCUUAACACCAAGGUCUUCUUUUUGACUAGACAUAUUUUAGCUAAGGGGUGUCCAAAACAACAGAAUGUGAGGCCAGCUUAAUAUCAGUUAAACUUUUGACAUGGGGACAAAUACCAAAGUGAUGUUAUCAGUCCUGUAGCUAGCUGCAGAGCUUGCGACUCACUAGCCACAGCUGCCUAGUGCCAUGUGAAGUGAUAAACUGGUUUUUGGUUUUCUUUUUCCCUUCCAGUUUUAAUAUUAUGUAAUGUAUUUAAACCCUUAUUUAAAUAAAACUUGUUUUCAGAAAUAAUAAAAAAAAGAAUGGAUUUUAAUUACUAUAAUUCU
This 1002-nucleotide long non-coding RNA is filed under the name Marmota monax (woodchuck). The record is from RNAcentral. Lineage: Eukaryota; Metazoa; Chordata; Mammalia; Rodentia; Sciuridae.